AGUGAACGCUGGCGGUAGGCCUAACACAUGCAAGUCGAACGGCAGCACAGUAAGAGCUUGCUCUUACGGGUGGCGAGUGGCGGACGAGUGAGGAAUACAUCGGAAUCUACUUUUUCGUGGGGGAUAACGUAGGGAAACUUACGCUAAUACCGCAUACGACCUACGGGUGAAAGCAGGGGAUCUUCGGACCUUGCGCGAUUGAAUGAGCCGAUGUCGGAUUAGCUAGUUGGCGGGGUAAAGGCCCACCAAGGCGACGAUCCGUAGCUGGUCUGAGAGGAUGAUCAGCCACACUGGAACUGAGACACGGUCCAGACUCCUACGGGAGGCAGCAGUGGGGAAUAUUGGACAAUGGGCGCAAGCCUGAUCCAGCCAUACCGCGUGGGUGAAGAAGGCCUUCGGUUUGUAAAGCCCUUUUGUUGGGAAAGAAAAGCAGCAGGUUAAUACCCCGCGGUUCUGACGGUACCCAAAGAAUAAGCACCGGCUAACUUCGUG
This 492-nucleotide ribosomal RNA is filed under the name uncultured bacterium. RNAcentral describes it as "partial 16S ribosomal RNA". It matches the Rfam family "Bacterial small subunit ribosomal RNA", at positions 29 to 507 of the family's 1533-position model. The record is from RNAcentral.